CAAUUUAAAGCCCUCGCAGGCUUCUCAAACUCAACCACUUACCAGGUGACGACAGUCAAGUCUCUGAGGGUUCGGGGCUGCGGGCUCCGACUGGAGAUUGGGUUUAGGCCCAACAGGUUUCAGGUGCAGCACUGCCGCCUCACCUGUCCCACCUUUCAGCACUUCUGUGGCCAGUUUCUCUGGAGGAGGCAUCAAAGUUUCCAGUAGAGGAAGAGGCCUUGAGCUGAAGCACAUGCGUCUUGACUGGUCAAGUGACGACAGCCCGGCCCCGAAGGCCACAACGCAGCCCGCAGCUUUCUGUCCGGAGACCUCAGCAUCACGGCCCAGAGUGGCUCUGUGCUCAGGGCCUGCUCUGCAGUCUUGAGCCUUUGGAUGAGAGAUGGGACGUGUCUCUGUUACUGGGUCAUUUACUGGGCCACCUGAGCUGGAAUGUCAGGCAGUGCAAAGACGGACAAGUGGAGGAACGCGUUGAGCUGCGAGGAGCACAUGCAGCCACUCGGUAGCUGUUACUAUGAACUGCUAAUUGAAAUGUUCAAUUACACAGUAUUUUAUUUAUACCGCGACAAUAGUUGACAAAAGCUGAAAAAAACUUGAGUUACGCUGAGUCUACAUUAAGGUCGUACGAGAAAGAAAUGGAUUCAGUAUGUUCAGCCUCUGGCUCUGCACACCAAAAUAAGAAAAUACUAACAUAUAAACACACGUCUGGACAUAUAUGUACAUGUAGAUAUGCAACCAUUGUGUUCAAUGUGAAGCGGAGUCUAUUGGUUCCGCCUUUUUGUCUUUGGUUACUCAGUAUUUUUAUAGCACACUAUACUACACAUGGAAAACUAAAUAUAGAAAAUGUUUUAUUAUUAUUCUUUUUUUUAUUAUUCUAGGAACAAAAAGGGAAAUUUGUGGCUACAAACCCGUGUGAACUUUGUCUGAACUGGAAUCUGCUUAACAGCAGCGACUAACGAUGGUUCAUUUAAUUAUUAUGAAGCGUACUUCUCAUAGUUCACCUACAGGUGGCGCUCUAAUUCUAAACACUGUACCGUUCACGCUUUCGCCUUUGCUCCCACAUGUGUGGUAUUGAUGUUACAGCUGUACAAACCAGUUCAUGCUGAAGGCCAAAAGCUUGCUUUUUACAUUUUACUUCAACACUACCGAAUAAACACGUUCCUCUGUUUGAAAUGC
Gasterosteus aculeatus aculeatus (three-spined stickleback) is the source of this 1173-nucleotide long non-coding RNA. The record is from Ensembl. Lineage: Eukaryota; Metazoa; Chordata; Actinopteri; Perciformes; Gasterosteidae.